GGCUGCUGGCGUGGGAUUGGAGAUUUUUAUGGUCCCUUUUGAGAGCCAGUCUAGUGGAAUACUGAACACAGAAUAAGCCUGAGGAAGUUCUCCAGAGCUCUGGCAUACCCUUUGAUGGGGCAAUCUGCAAAUAUUCAUUUUACAUAGGCGGCUGCCCUCCGCUUGCUUCUGCUGGGACUCCUGGCCCAGGCCGGGCAAAUUGAGGUAGGGAAGGGGCUAUUGAUUAGAGAGGUGGCAAGCUAGGCCAUGGACAAAUUUCUCUUUUAUAAAUUUGCCAAAAGCUUUUAGAUUCUCACUCAGGGUUAUAAAUCAGACCAGGAGCAGAAUGCCAGGCCACUAACCAGAAUGUCUCGGGAGAAAGAGACCCAUACCACUUAAACCAUCCUGGGGCAACUGCCGGUGACCCCACAAAUCCAACGAGAAACUUUUGGUUGCCCUGGCAAAGUUGUUUCUUUCCUGUGUUAUGUAUUUCUUAGUUCCCUAAAAAAAACCUCUUUCCCAUACUUACCAGAGGAAGUGAAGGUUCUAGUGCCAAUUCUGCUGAGCAAAUCACUAGAAGUUUUCAGAAUCUCACAUUCCUCCUCUGGAAACCAAAAGGGUCGCACUGGCUGAUUUCUCAGUUUCCUUCCGACUUUACCAUCACAGAGUGUGAACACUGGUUUUGCCUUUCUUGGUAUUCCCUGCGCCUAGCACAUUGCCUGGCCCAGAGUCAGCGCUUAACAAAUGAUUGUCGACUGACUGACUGAUUCUCGCCAGUAUCCAGAAGGACUGGCCAGCGAUAGUGGCGAGUCACCCGCAGGUGGCACUGCUCAAGGCUCUGACAGGGUUCGAGGAUUCGGGGCGCUUGCUUUCGGAGCCCCCAUGUAAGAGGAAACGAGAGCUUAAAGAAACCCAGCGACCUGGCUUUGCCCGCCAGCAAUUGCGCAAAGCCUGAGCAGUCCCGGAGAGCUGAGCCUCGGAGCGCCGGGGCUGCCGGGCUGCCCAUCGCGCCCCUGGCUGCAGCUUGGCUGAGACGCGGGAGGUGGCAGAACCUGUUGGAGUCCUCGCUGGGUAACCUCUGCAGAUCCACCCCUUUCUUCUCUCUGGCUGCCGCGAGGCGUGGGGCGGGCAAGCCGUGGCGGGAACCGAGGUCGCCCGGCCUGAGCCGGCGGCUCCCGGGGCGGGGCGAGGCCAGGCAAUCUCCUUCCCUCCCGCCCUUCUUCCCUUCAUCCACCUUAGCCACGAGAGCUUGGGGUGCACUCGCUCCAUCCACUUUGGUCCCUCGCAGCUCGUGGCGCGCCGGGUCAGCGUGCCCCACCAGCCAGAAAAGAAGAGUCAGAUCUGCCCUUGUUGAAAUAGCUUUGAAAUCUUCCAUCCAUUUUGUUCGGAUGGAAUGAAAUGAAGUUGGUGACUGGUUUGGAGCAGUGGCAGUAGUUUGAGGUAGGGAGGCCCUUUUAGCUGUCUCUUGCUAUUUCUUUCCUUUUACUUCUCCUCUUU
Molecule: long non-coding RNA, 1476 nt
Organism: Phascolarctos cinereus (koala)
Lineage: Eukaryota; Metazoa; Chordata; Mammalia; Diprotodontia; Phascolarctidae
Source: Ensembl